RNAcentral lists this ribosomal RNA (253 nucleotides) under uncultured bacterium. RNAcentral's name for it is "partial 16S ribosomal RNA". It matches the Rfam family "Bacterial small subunit ribosomal RNA", at positions 524 to 776 of the family's 1533-position model. The record is from RNAcentral.
UACGAAGGGUGCAAACGUUGCUCGGAAUUAUUGGGCGUAAAGCGCACGUAGGCGGCUACGCAAGUCGGAUGUGAAAUCCCUCGGCUCAACCAAGGAAGUGCACCCGAAACUGCGCAGCUUGAGUGCCAAAGAGGAUCGCGGAAUUCCCGGUGUAGAGGUGAAAUGCGUAGAUAUCUGGAGGAACACCGGUGGCGAAGGCGGCAUCCUGGACCAACACUGACACUGAGGAGCGAAAGCCAGGGGAGCAAACGGG